RNAcentral lists this ribosomal RNA (492 nucleotides) under uncultured bacterium. RNAcentral's name for it is "partial 16S ribosomal RNA". It matches the Rfam family "Bacterial small subunit ribosomal RNA", at positions 29 to 507 of the family's 1533-position model. The record is from RNAcentral.
AGUGAACGCUGGCGGCAGGCCUAACACAUGCAAGUCGAACGGCAGCACAGUAAGUUCUUGCUCUUACGGGUGGCGAGUGGCGGAAGGGAGACGUAGACAUCGGAACCUACUUUUUCGUGGGGGAUAACGUAGGGAGACUUAUGCUAAUACCGCAUAAGAGCUAAGGGUGAAAGCAGGGGAGCUUCGGACCUAGCGCGUUUGAAUGAGGCGAUGUCGGAUUAGCUAGUUGGCGGGGUAAAGGCCCACCAAGGCGACGAUCCGUAGCUGGUCUGAGAGGAUGAUCAGCCACACUGGAACUGAGACACGGCCCAGACUCCUACGGGAGGCAGCAGUGGGGAAUUUUGGACAAUGGGCGCAAGCCUGAUCCAGCAAUGCCGCGUGGGUGAAGAAGGCCUUCGGGUUGUAAAGCCCUUUUGUCGGGAAAGAAAAGCUUCAGGUUAAUACCCCGCUGUGAUGACGGUACCCGAAGAAUAAGCACCGGCUAACUACGUG